RNAcentral lists this long non-coding RNA (680 nucleotides) under Olea europaea (common olive). RNAcentral's name for it is "long non-coding RNA (OEUR_LNC011279)". Lineage: Eukaryota; Viridiplantae; Streptophyta; Magnoliopsida; Lamiales; Oleaceae. The record is from RNAcentral.
CAGCUGCAUGCAAAAAUAUUUUGGAGAGCAAUAAAAAUUUAACAGGGUAAUAUGUAGAAUUACUUGCCAUUCAUGGCAAUAAUAAUAACAUCAAGGCAAUAGUAUUGAAGGGCUGACCAUACUAUAAUCUGAUGAGAGAGUACCUUUGACCAAAUGCAAAAAUCAGUAGGCCUAAUUUCUAUACAAGCAAAAUAAGUUAAAAGAAAUGUGCAGCUUUAGCAAAUGAUGCAAUCUUUAGCAUAACUCAUACGAGGUUGUGGUAUACUCUUGCAAUAUCAAAACAUUCCCGGAACUCUCAAUGGCUCGAUGUUUUUCAGAACAAAGGUGCAGCUUUAGCAAAAUUAUACAAUCUUUAGAAUAACUCUUACAAGGUUAAGAUAUAAAAUUGCAUUAUUAAAACAUGCUGCGGGCUCUUGAAGACUGCUAUUUUUCCUUUGGCUGGAUGACAUAAAAGAACUUCUGCUUCAAACAAUUCACUUAUCAAAAAGUUAUGGGCUGGAUAACUACCUUUGGCUCGAGCGUUGAGAUUAACACACAUAACCUUAUGACAACAUCUACCCUUUCGGAACUUGUAACUUACACACUGGAAGCAGAAAAUCUCACCUCACUUGAUCUCAGACCUACAAAAAUCAUAUGCAGUGCACUUCAAAUUUCCAAUACUUGAUCACAUAUCAUUGAGA